UGCGGCUCCGAUUCCCUCCCUUCCUCUCGCCCUUCCGUUCGGCACCCCGAGGGCGAAGAAGGCUUCGCCAACACGACCUCCAUCUCUCCCCGCCUCUUCCACCAUUCGCGGCGCCGAUUGGGUGGCCAGCUUGAUCGCACCACUGCUCAGAGAGAGAGAGAGAGAGAGAGAGAGAAUCCGAGGUCUUUUGGCGAGGUAUGCAGACUGAUCAGGCGGUCAUCGGCUUGAGGCCCGGCGGUGGAGGGAGGACCAGAGGCAGCAGAAUACUCGCUCCACGGUUCGACUCCGCCGCCUCCGAUCACGCCGUCCUCCGCCCACACGUAGGUGCCGGCGCCCCGCGUCCCGCUCAAUGAUUUACUGUGUGAUGGAAAAUCAUGCCCUGCUGAGGAAAAUGUUGAGGCAAUCGGCCAGUUAUUGAACACCAUAGGGAAGGAGUUGGAUGAGAGAGUCGUAAAUCUCGUCGCUUUAAUGAUGCCUAUUUCAGCCGGCCGAAAGAGCUAACUACCGAUCCUCAACUUGCGUCACGUCUAAGAUUUUAUGGUCCGCUAUGUGCUUGAUCUUUGUGCAAACAAUUGGAUCCCUCGGCGUGAAGAGGUAAACUUUGCCCUGGUUCAGUUCAUGUAAUUAGGAUGAAUUAUUCUCAAGAGACUCACAAUUGUUGUUGUAGUUUUCUUUGGAAUUGAUGGCUUCCCGAGGCAGAAAAGAAUCUGGGGCCACGCCCUAGUGCGACUCCAAGCAUGAGAAGUAGCCGUGAUGUUGGUGGUUCAGGAGGUCUUAGUCUUACGGGAUAUCCUUGGAAUUAAACUUAUUUAAAAGAUGAGAUUGAAACUUCUCUCAUGAACGCCUGGGAUGCCAGGUGAUAAGAUUGGUGUAUCUCUUCUUCUUCUUUUUUCUUUUCUAUCAAUCCUAUCAACAGACGCAAUGCUGGUGGUAUGAUUCUUGGGAUGCCUGGAAUUCCUGGGUUAGACGAUGACCAUUGGGAAGUUCGACAAGCGAAUCUAUGCCCAGAGGUGAUGUUAACCGUGUCCAUGGUCCUUUGAUCACCAUCCAUCACUUUUAAGCUCUUACCACAAGUUAGUGGUAGCCUGGCAUCUGGUAAGACUAGUGCAUUACUGCAGGGCAGUGGCCCAGUAUCUCGUUCUUCUUGUAUUGUUUCAGGCGUAUCAGAUUCUCCAUCUCAAAACUUAGGGCGCCAGAGACCAGUUGGUCAAGAAGUUAGUGGCAACACAAAUUUAAUCCUAAUGAGCUGCAUAAGAAAACAGUUCCUCUUUUUGAAGAGUAUUUUGACAUCUGCAUUCUAGAUGAAGCACUUCAAUGUGUAGAGGAACUGAAGAGCUCAGAGUACCAUCCAGAGGUUGUCAAGGAAGCCAUCGAUUUAGCUCUAAACAAGGGCUUUUCAUAUCUGGAAGCUGUAGUGAUGUUUUUGGAGAUUUUGCUGAUUAAAAAUGUUUUUACUCCAAGGGAUUUGGGGACAAGUUGUUUGCUCUAUGAUGCGAUGUAAGAUGAUGUUGGCAUUGAUUUGCCAAAAGCACCCACAUAUUUUGGUGGUGUUGAUUUCAAAGGUAGUGGAGGAAAUUCUCACAAAGGUUGAAGAUGCCAGUUUCCAGUCAGCAAUAUUCAAUGCUCUUUUCAGAAUUUUUAAAGCAAGUCCUAAUGGACAGUGUGUAUGUUGAAUGCUUGUGCCAGUUGCAGCAAAAUGGAUAAACUCAUGAAGCUCCAGUUGCUCUUUAAGCUCUUGACAAAUGAUUGUGGAUACGAAGGAAGGAAUUGGUGAGUGCAUCAAAUUGUUGAAAUUAAUAUUCUCAUUUAGUUUGCUUUACCUUGUCUUUGCAGAUGGUUAUACAAGCGCAGGAAGGAGAUGCAAGUUCAGAUCCAUGAGGUCCAGUUUCAUACAGAUGGUCAUGCAUGCCUGUCUUAUCAUCACAGUCAUCACCUCUUGUUCUUUUUCUGUAAUUAACUGCAUUUCCAUCAGAUAGGAAUACAGUUUUCUGCCUAAUACUCCAUUGUUUAUAUGAUUUAUGAAGGCAAUCAUCUAUAACCUGUAAUCUUGAGAAGUGUUUCAAUCUAUGCCAAGACAUCAAUGAUUGUCAUGUUGUUUAUUCUCCUGUAUUAGUUCAUGUUGAGUAUUCUGAGACAAAGACUUGGAAUAAUAUCUUUUUACCUUUUUCUUGAUAGGUUGAACCAAAUGCAUGAUCCUACAUGGGCUACUCAUCUUCGAAUGGAAUCAAUGGAUGGGUAAAGAGACUCAUCCUGAUGCAAUCUUCAGCAACUCUUACUAGAUGAUGAUAGUGAGGGAGAUGUAUGGCUUUCUGCUACUUUCCUGAGGCUCUCAUCUUCAUACUAAUAUCCUGCCGCCAUCACAUAUUGGUCUGUAAGUCUGAUGUCUUGUGAUGUUAUGUCUCCACUCAAUGUUGCAGAAACUCCCAAUGUCACACAGAAUCCUAUGUCUAUAUUCUCAAAUCUGCUGUGAUAUAGAUGCCUUCUUAUCAUCAGAAAAUUCAGCUUGCAAGCCAUGUGAAGAAUUCCCACCAUAAUAGUUUGGGACUGUUCACCGACAUGCAAAAGGACAGUGAUCUGUCUUGUUCCUUCUGUUCUUUCCUGUUCUCUUCUUCUGCUUCUUUGGCACACCGAACACAACUUUACUUCUGUUGAGUGACAUCUUUUGCUGAUCUAUUCUCAUGUGCAGGCUCAUCACCUACUUUGUUUUUUACCACCCUCGAAGCAAAGAAGAGAAAGAAAAGAUCUUUAAACCCAUGUGAAGUUCUUGAAACAUGACUACUGGAAGAAGAUGGAAAGAUUCGUUUGUUGUUUUGAGUAUCGAACAACUUGGGCUUGAAAUUGACGUCGGCUUUUGACAGUGUUCUGCUCAGACUUUUCUCUCGGUCUUUCACCAUGUCAGAUUCUCUGGAUUGGGCACUGUUGUAGCGGUCAUGUGGAGUGUGGCUACUGAUAUCAUCAGCCAUGGUGCAGGAGAUCAAGCUCGCCAACUGCCCCAACUCCUGGAAGACCUGCCAUUACACGGCCGAAAUGUGACGGUGAAGCUGAGCAGUGGUGACAAGUCCGGUGAGGAGAGCGUGGAAGUUGACGGCGGGGAACGGCUGAGCCACUCGAAAAAGAGUGGUACUGGUGGCAAAGGAGGGAAGGGUGUCGGCGGCGCAGGCUCUCAAUCUCUCCGGCAGCCACGGUCUCGGAAGAGCGGCUCCACAUCCAUGCGACGGCCAUACGACUCUCUCUGGGGAAUUGGUCUGCCUUCCCUCCUGCUUUGCGUUGCUUUAACCUGACUUCUUUGGUAUCGCAAGAUCGAUGAAUAAAUGGAGUGUUUGUAUGACUGCAUCUAAUCUAUGAUUGUGGAAAUGUCGACGAUGAUGAUUGAAAGUUUGUGAUUAGACUUUAAUGAUGAGUGAAAUGAAAAGGGAAAAAAAUGUUACAAUAUUAAAUUAAAUAUUGUGAUUAGAU
Non-coding RNA from Musa acuminata subsp. malaccensis (wild Malaysian banana), 3456 nucleotides. Lineage: Eukaryota; Viridiplantae; Streptophyta; Magnoliopsida; Zingiberales; Musaceae. The record is from RefSeq and is a predicted model, not a curated record.